RNAcentral lists this ribosomal RNA (163 nucleotides) under Liparophyllum exiguum. RNAcentral describes it as "5.8S ribosomal RNA". It matches the Rfam family "5.8S ribosomal RNA". From Rfam's summary of the family: 5.8S ribosomal RNA (5.8S rRNA) is a component of the large subunit of the eukaryotic ribosome. It is transcribed by RNA polymerase I as part of the 45S precursor that also contains 18S and 28S rRNA. The record is from RNAcentral. Lineage: Eukaryota; Viridiplantae; Streptophyta; Magnoliopsida; Asterales; Menyanthaceae.
AAAUGACUCUCGGCAACGGAUAUCUCGGCUCUCGCAUCGAUGAAGAACGUAGCGAAAUGCGAUACUUGGUGUGAAUUGCAGAAUCCCGUGAACCAUCGAGUCUUUGAACGCAAGUUGCGCCCGAAGCCGUUAGGCUGAGGGCACGUCUGCCUGGGCGUCACAU